This 253-nucleotide ribosomal RNA is filed under the name uncultured bacterium. RNAcentral describes it as "partial 16S ribosomal RNA". It matches the Rfam family "Bacterial small subunit ribosomal RNA", at positions 524 to 776 of the family's 1533-position model. The record is from RNAcentral.
UACGGAGGGUGCAAGCGUUAUCCGGAUUCACUGGGUUUAAAGGGUGCGUAGGUGGGCAGGUAAGUCAGUGGUGGAAUCUCCGGGCUUAACCCGGAAACUGCCGUUGAUACUAUCUGUCUUGAAUAUAGUGGAGGUGAGCGGAAUAUGUCAUGUAGCGGUGAAAUGCUUAGAUAUGACAUAGAACAUCGAUUGCGAAGGCAGCUCGCUACGCUAUUAUUGACACUGAGGCACGAAAGCGUGGGGAUCAAACAGG